GAUGAAGAACGUAGCGAAAUGCGAUACUUGGUGUGAAUUGCAGAAUCCCGCGAAUCAUCGAGUUUUUGAACGCAAGUUGCGCCCGAAGCCAUUCGGCCGAGGGCACGUCUGCCUGGGUGUCACGCAUCGUUGCCCCCCCCAAACUUCGGUUCGGGCGGGGCAGAAGUUGGCCUCCCGUGCGUGCCUGCGCGUGCGGUUAGCCCAAAAGCGAGUCCUCGGCGACGAGCGCCACGAAAAUCGGUGGUUUUUUUGCCCUCGUUCCUCGUCGUGCGUGCCCCGUCGCCCGAACGCGCUCUUGCGACCUUCACGCGUCGCCUCGGUGGCGCUCCCAACGCGACCCCAGGUCAGGCGGGACUACCCGCUGAGUUUAAGCAUAUCAAUAAGCGGGGA
Molecule: unclassified non-coding RNA, 390 nt
Filed under: soil metagenome
Description: partial contains 5.8S ribosomal RNA, internal transcribed spacer 2, and large subunit ribosomal RNA
Rfam family: 5.8S ribosomal RNA (bases 1-122)
Source: RNAcentral